Molecule: long non-coding RNA, 1328 nt
Filed under: Olea europaea subsp. europaea
Lineage: Eukaryota; Viridiplantae; Streptophyta; Magnoliopsida; Lamiales; Oleaceae
Rfam family: MIR167 microRNA precursor family (bases 86-187)
Source: RNAcentral
UUCAACCCUUAUCUCUCUGUCUCUCCUCCACCAUCACCGCCACCGUGACUCCACCACCGCCACCGCCAUGCAUAUGUAUAUCGUGCACCACUAGCAGAUGAAGCUGCCAGCAUGAUCUUAACUCGCCUUUGAUCAACAUCGACUCGGGGAGAGAUCAGAUCAUGCGGCAGCUUCACCUGUUAUCGGAUCACGAAAAUCUUUAUCUGUAUACAGUAAGCAACCCUAAAUUCUUUUGGUCCGUAAUUCCUUCGUUCUGAAUAUUAGUACAAAUUAAUGAAUUAUUAGUUUUUAGAUUUUGGCUUACUUUACUUUAGGUAUCAACUGCAAGUGAUGGCACUGGCUUAUUUUAAAUUCAUCAUUUUUCUGUAUUUAUUAGAUAACUAAAGAUGAAGGGUUGAUAAACGGCAGUGACAAUUCUACUUUCCAAGGGCCACUUAUUUCUUCAUUUUUCAUUCUUCAUUACCAUUAAUUAUUCUUUUCCAAGAACCAAACCAAUCUUCCUCUUUUUUCCCCCCUCUUUUUUUUAAUCAUUAUAGGGAGUCAUCUAUGAACAAUAAUAUGGUAAUGUCCAAGACCAAGAAAUUUAAGAAAUAAAUAAUUGCGAAUUCUUUUUUUCACAGACAAAAAUAAAAACUUCUUGAUUAAAUAUUGAUAUUAGAGUGUUGCGAGAGUAGAGGAUGGGAAUCUUGCAGUCGGGAAGAGGUUUAUGUUAGAAUUGCUGGUGAAUAAAUUUGGUCUGUUUGGAUCUUUUGAGAUCCCUCCUUUUUCUGGCAAUUUUGUAUUAUUUACAUCCCGUUUUGUAUAGCCUUUUUUAGAAGUUCCUAUUGGUUGCAUGAUUUAAUUAUAUUAUCUCUUGCUCUUUACCAUAUAAAGCCAACUCAAAAGGUAUAAAUCCAAUUCUUCAUUUAAUUUUUUUUUUUUUUUUUUUUUUUUUUUUUUUUAGUUCUUUGAUCUUUGAUAAUAUUUUGUGUAUAAAAGCUGUAUGAAAUGUUAAUCGAGUCUUUUUUUUAUUUUUAUUUUUAUUUUUUAUGAUAGGAAAACCCGCAGUCGUUACCUUUCGGGUGCAUACUGGGUAAAUUCUCGGACUGACAUAAUAGCCUGCAAAUCACGCUAAUCAGGUAAACUACACCAGGCAAACCCGGUGUGACAGACUCGAUCGAGAAGGUGUUGGUAAGAAGAAUCGAACUCGUGAUCAAAAGCCUCUGCACUUACCUGCUCCACCAACUCGGCCACCCCCAUGAGAGGCGAGCGCACGUCAAAUAUUUUAAGUAAAACAGACUUGUCUAUAUACAAUUAGCAAAUAAAUAAUCUACAUGAUUGAUCUAGAC